UCUACAGGCUUAACACAUGCAAGUCGAGGGGCAGCAUGGUCUUAGCUUGCUAAGGCCGAUGGCGACCGGCGCACGGGUGAGUAACACGUAUCCAACCUGCCGUCUACUCUUGGACAGCCUUCUGAAAGGAAGAUUAAUACAAGAUGGCAUCAUGAGUCCGCAUGUUCACAUGAUUAAAGGUAUUCCGGUAGACGAUGGGGAUGCGUUCCAUUAGAUAGUAGGCGGGGUAACGGCCCACCUAGUCUUCGAUGGAUAGGGGUUCUGAGAGGAAGGUCCCCCACAUUGGAACUGAGACACGGUCCAAACUCCUACGGGAGGCAGCAGUGAGGAAUAUUGGUCAAUGGGCGAGAGCCUGAACCAGCCAAGUAGCGUGAAGGAUGACUGCCCUAUGGGUUGUAAACUUCUUUUAUAAAGGAAUAAAGUCGGGUAUGGAUACCCGUUUGCAUGUACUUUAUGAAUAAGGAUCGGCUAACUCCGUGCCAGCAGCCGCGGUAAUACGGAGGAUCCGAGCGUUAUCCGGAUUUAUUGGGUUUAAAGGGAGCGUAGAUGGAUGUUUAAGUCAGUUGUGAAAGUUUGCGGCUCAACCGUAAAAUUGCAGUUGAUACUGGAUAUCUUGAGUGCAGUUGAGGCAGGCGGAAUUCGUGGUGUAGCGGUGAAAUGCUUAGAUAUCACGAAGAACUCCGAUUGCGAAGGCAGCCUGCUAAGCUGCAACUGACAUUGAGGCUCGAAAGUGUGGGUAUCAAACAGGAUUAGAUACCCUGGUAGUCCACACGGUAAACGAUGAAUACUCGCUGUUUGCGAUAUACUGCAAGCGGCCAAGCGAAAGCGUUAAGUAUUCCACCUGGGGAGUACGCCGGCAACGGUGAAACUCAAAGGAAUUGACGGGGGCCCGCACAAGCGGAGGAACAUGUGGUUUAAUUCGAUGAUACGCGAGGAACCUUACCCGGGCUUAAAUUGCAGAUGAAUUACGGUGAAAGCCGUAAGCCGCAAGGCAUCUGUGAAGGUGCUGCAUGGUUGUCGUCAGCUCGUGCCGUGAGGUGUCGGCUUAAGUGCCAUAACGAGCGCAACCCUUGUUGUCAGUUACUAACAGGUUCCGCUGAGGACUCUGACAAGACUGCCAUCGUAAGAUGUGAGGAAGGUGGGGAUGACGUCAAAUCAGCACGGCCCUUACGUCCGGGGCUACACACGUGUUACAAUGGGGGGUACAGAGGGCCGCUACCACGCGAGUGGAUGCCAAUCCCCAAAACCUCUCUCAGUUCGGACUGGAGUCUGCAACCCGACUCCACGAAGCUGGAUUCGCUAGUAAUCGCGCAUCAGCCACGGCGCGGUGAAUACGUUCCCGGGCCUUGUACACACCGCCCGUCAAGCCAUGGGAGCCGGGGGUACCUGAAGUGCGUAACCGCGAGGAGCGCCCUAGGGUAAAACUGGUGACUGGGGCU
Molecule: ribosomal RNA, 1439 nt
Filed under: uncultured bacterium
Lineage: Bacteria
Description: bacterial SSU rRNA
Rfam family: Bacterial small subunit ribosomal RNA
Source: RNAcentral